Non-coding RNA from Spinacia oleracea (spinach), 160 nucleotides. NCBI's taxonomy places the organism in Eukaryota, Viridiplantae, Streptophyta, Magnoliopsida, Caryophyllales, Amaranthaceae. The record is from Rfam.
CUGCCUUAAACUAAUGAGUAAGGAAAACAAAGCGGGCGGUGAGAACCGACCGCAGCGUCUAUCAAUAUAAAUUGGUGCGCAAUUAUUUUUGGAGGGGGUAUAGGCUAGCCAAGCUGUGACGCUGCUUACUUUUGCAGAACUCGCUUGUGCAGGCCUCCCA